This 73-nucleotide transfer RNA is filed under the name Thermoproteota archaeon. Its description in RNAcentral is "Crenarchaeota archaeon (hot springs metagenome) tRNA-His". It matches the Rfam family "tRNA". From Rfam's summary of the family: Transfer RNA (tRNA) molecules are approximately 80 nucleotides in length. Their secondary structure includes four short double-helical elements and three loops (D, anti-codon, and T loops). Lineage: Archaea; Thermoproteati; Thermoproteota. The record is from RNAcentral.
GCCCGGAUUGAGUAGCCUGGUAGCUCGUAGGCCUGUGGAGCCUAUUGCAUGGGUUCAAAUCCCAUUCCGGGCC